GUAGAUUAGUGGCACGUGGACUUGUUUUCAAAUCAUACAACUCUCUCUGACAGAUCAAAAUUGUUGAGUUUUAAAUCCGUUUCCACCAGGUUUCUGUAGACCAAAAUGUUGGCACGAAUAAUUUCUGGCAACUUUAAUCGGACGCAAGGCCCCGGCGAUGAGAUGUUCCACGUAAAACCCAAGUGAAGCAAUAAACCGCACCAGUAAGAGCUUAUAAAGAAUAUAUGCUUUUAAUGAGGGAUGAUACUAUUUG
Long non-coding RNA from Drosophila santomea, 253 nucleotides. RefSeq lists it as uncharacterized. Lineage: Eukaryota; Metazoa; Arthropoda; Insecta; Diptera; Drosophilidae. The transcript has 2 exons. The record is from RefSeq and is a predicted model, not a curated record.